Molecule: ribosomal RNA, 254 nt
Filed under: uncultured bacterium
Lineage: Bacteria
Description: partial 16S ribosomal RNA
Rfam family: Bacterial small subunit ribosomal RNA
Source: RNAcentral
UACGUAGGGUGCAAGCGUUAAUCGGAAUUACUGGGCGUAAAGCGUGCGCAGGCGGUGAUGUAAGACAGAUGUGAAAUCCCAGGGCUCAACCUUGGAACUGCAUUUGUGACUGCAUCGCUGGAGUGCGGCAGAGGGGGAUGGAAUUCCGCGUGUAGCAGUGAAAUGCGUAGAUAUGCGGAGGAACACCGGUGGCGAAGGCGGCAUCCUGGACCGGCAUUGACGCUGAGGCGCGGAAAGCCAGGGGAGCAAACGGG